GCCAGGCUCUGUGGCACUUGCCUGUAAUCCCAGCAGCGUGGGAGGCUGAGGCAGGUGGAUCAUGAGUUCAAAGCCAGCCUCAGCAAUGGUGAGGUGCUAAGCAACUCAGUGAGAACCUGUCUCUA
RNAcentral lists this small RNA (125 nucleotides) under Marmota monax (woodchuck). The record is from RNAcentral. Lineage: Eukaryota; Metazoa; Chordata; Mammalia; Rodentia; Sciuridae.